RNAcentral lists this long non-coding RNA (1006 nucleotides) under Podarcis muralis (Common wall lizard). Its description in RNAcentral is "lncRNA (ENSPMRG00000016371.1)". The record is from RNAcentral. Lineage: Eukaryota; Metazoa; Chordata; Lepidosauria; Squamata; Lacertidae.
GGCAGCUAGACUGGUGACUGGGAGCGGCCACCGAGACCAUAUAACACUGGUCUUGAAAGACCUACACUGGCUCCCAGUACGUUUCCAAGCACAAUUCAAAGUGUUGGUGCUGACCUUUAAGGCCCUGAACAGCCUUGGUCCAGUAUACCUGAAGGAGCAUCUCCACCCCCAUUGUUCUGCCCACACACUGAGGUCCAGUGCCAAGGGCCUUCUGGCGGUUCAUGAGUACAUAGGAAACUUAUUAAAUACUUAACUAUACUGCUGGGCCAGAAAGUUCAGUUUAUGUCUUGUUGUGAUUCCUUUCUUAAAGGUGAAUCUCAUGUGAUAGAAGCUGAGGCUGACUCUACAGUUGGACGUCAGUUUAUCCUCAAGGCAGACGAAGGACUCGGAUGGCUCCUGGAUUCCGAUAAGGCUGUGACAACAACUGAUGAUGCACCACACACCAAAUCUGAAAACGUUGUUGUGGCCAAGCUAACCUCUGCUACAGAUGAAAGCUUGCGUGAACUGGCACCCUCUGUGGAGAUAACAAAGUUGUCCCUGCAAGGUAAUGGACAUAAUGAAUGCAUGGCACCGUUUACUAAAGGGGUUGGGUAGCGAACCAUGGGAGAUGGAGCUCUUGGUUUUAAUACUUCUUAAACUCCUUUUAGGCACUGCAUCACAGAAGGGGACUGUCCUGGAACGAAUCCAAACCACAGCAGCUGCUGUCGUGGUGCUUGUCCUGUUGAGCUGCAUCUUCUAGAUACGUGGAUAAAUCCAUUUGCUUGUAUAUUGAAAACGGAGGUUUUUUUCUUGCAGCCUGAAACUGUAGAGCUGGCAACAAUUGUGUUUAUGUAAUGUCUGCUGCACAAGCAAAGCUUGUGGCCAGGUGGUUCAUCCUCUGCAAGGGCUUAAGCAAAAUGGACUACUGAAAUGAAAAAUAAACUGCAUGUGGUAUUCACUGUUGUUUUCAAUUGGCAAUGCAUAACAAUAUGCAAUUGAUGUUGUUUUCCCCCCAUUUACAUUGAGG